AUCGCAUUAGCUCAGUUGGUAGAGCGCAGGACUCUUAAUCCUGCAGUCGUGGGUUCGAGCCCCACAUGCGAUG
RNAcentral lists this transfer RNA (73 nucleotides) under Flavobacteriia bacterium. RNAcentral describes it as "tRNA-Lys". It matches the Rfam family "tRNA". From Rfam's summary of the family: Transfer RNA (tRNA) molecules are approximately 80 nucleotides in length. Their secondary structure includes four short double-helical elements and three loops (D, anti-codon, and T loops). The record is from RNAcentral. Lineage: Bacteria; Pseudomonadati; Bacteroidota; Flavobacteriia.